This 322-nucleotide ribosomal RNA is filed under the name uncultured Thermovirga sp. Its description in RNAcentral is "bacterial SSU rRNA". It matches the Rfam family "Bacterial small subunit ribosomal RNA", at positions 1062 to 1382 of the family's 1533-position model. Lineage: Bacteria; Thermotogati; Synergistota; Synergistia; Synergistales; Thermovirgaceae. The record is from RNAcentral.
GUCGUCGAGAGUGUUGGGUUAAGUCCCGCAACGAGCGCAACCCCUGCAUUCAGUUGCCAUCGGUAAGGCCGGGCACUCUGGAUGGACUGCCGGCGACAAGCCGGAGGAAGGUGGGGACGACGUCAAGUCAUCAUGGCCCUUAUGUCCAGGGCGACACACGUGCUACAAUGGCCGGCACAACGGGAAGCGAAGGGGCGACCCUGAGCGGAUCCCACAAAAGCCGGUCUCAGUUCGGAUUGCAGUCUGCAACUCGACUGCAUGAAGUUGGAAUCGCUAGUAAUCGUGGAUCAGCCAAGCCGCGGUGGAUACGUUCCCGGGCCUU